RNAcentral lists this ribosomal RNA (468 nucleotides) under uncultured bacterium. RNAcentral's name for it is "partial 16S ribosomal RNA". It matches the Rfam family "Bacterial small subunit ribosomal RNA", at positions 30 to 507 of the family's 1533-position model. The record is from RNAcentral.
UCCUAACUCUGGCGGCGUGCUUAACACAUGCAAGUCGAACGGUGAAGCUCCAGCUUGCUGGAGUGGAUCAGUGGCGAACGGGUGAGUAACACGUGAGCAACCUGCCCCUGACUCUGGAAUAAGCGCUGGAAACGGCGUCUAAUACUGGAUACGAGAAGGGUCCGCAUGGGCACUUUCUGGAAAGUUUUUCGGUUGGGGAUGGGCUCGCGGCCUAUCAGCUUGUUGGUGAGGUAAUGGCUCACCAAGGCGACGACGGGUAGCCGGCCUGAGAGGGCGACCGGCCACACUGGGACUGAGACACGGCCCAGACUCCUACGGGAGGCAGCAGUGGGGAAUAUUGCACAAUGGGCGAAAGCCUGAUGCAGCGACGCCGCGUGAGGGAUGACGGCCUUCGGGUUGUAAACCUCUUUCAGCAGGGAAGAAGCGAAAGUGACGGUACCUGCAGAAGAAGCACCGGCUAACUACGUG